GCAAUAUGAAGGUCAGGCUGAAGACCUUACCCGAUUAGCUGAGAGGUGGUGCAUGGCCGUCGUCAGUUCGUACUGUGAAGCAUCCUGUUAAGUCAGGCAACGAGCGAGACCCACGUCCACAGUUGCCAGCAUACCCUCCGGGGUGAUGGGUACACUGUGGAGACCGCCGCUGCUAAAGCGGAGGAAGGAGUGGGCAACGGUAGGUCAGUAUGCCCCGAAUCCCCCGGGCUACACGCGGGCUACAAUGGUUGGUACAAUGGGCAUCUACCCCGAAAGGGGAAGGAAAUCUCUUAAAGCCAAUCGUAGUUCGGAUUGAGGGCUGCAACUCGCCCUCAUGAAGCUGGAAUCCGUAGUAAUCGCGUUUCAACAGAACGCGGUGAAUACGUCCCUGAACUCCUU
This 399-nucleotide ribosomal RNA is filed under the name uncultured Methanosaeta sp. Its description in RNAcentral is "bacterial SSU rRNA". It matches the Rfam family "Archaeal small subunit ribosomal RNA", at positions 942 to 1332 of the family's 1478-position model. The record is from RNAcentral. Lineage: Archaea; Methanobacteriati; Methanobacteriota; Methanomicrobia; Methanotrichales; Methanotrichaceae.